UAGCUAUGAGGAUUUCUGCGCCAAUUAGAUGGAGGGGUCCAUCAUUCUCAUCUGACCCAAGAUGAAAAUAUGCGCUUCUGAGCUU
Small nucleolar RNA from Humulus lupulus (European hop), 85 nucleotides. RefSeq annotates it as small nucleolar RNA snoR114. The transcript has a single exon. The record is from RefSeq and is a predicted model, not a curated record. Lineage: Eukaryota; Viridiplantae; Streptophyta; Magnoliopsida; Rosales; Cannabaceae.